UUGAUCUGAUGAACUAUCCUUAAUCAGGAUCCCUCUACUGAGUAGAACCCAUUAAAAACCAUGCGGUCAAUUUUUCCCUGACUGAUCAUA
This 90-nucleotide small nucleolar RNA is filed under the name Drosophila grimshawi. RNAcentral describes it as "snoRNA:GH25775". Lineage: Eukaryota; Metazoa; Arthropoda; Insecta; Diptera; Drosophilidae. The record is from RNAcentral.